Long non-coding RNA from Globicephala melas (long-finned pilot whale), 13751 nucleotides. RefSeq lists it as uncharacterized. The record is from RefSeq and is a predicted model, not a curated record. NCBI's taxonomy places the organism in Eukaryota, Metazoa, Chordata, Mammalia, Artiodactyla, Delphinidae.
CUGGGAGAAGAGGAGAGAGACGGACCCAAGAGGGAAGAAAAACAGGGGCAACGGUGGCAGCGGGGGUGGGGGAGGAGGGGCCAGGCACCGCCCCGCUCCCUCGGACAUCCCCAAGGGGGCCCCGGCUCCGUCAUCCAGCUCCAGAGGAGCCGCCGCUGGUGGAUCUCGGGCACCGGAGGUCAGCAGGUCCGCACUGGACACUUCUGACGUCAUUCAAGUGUAAACUGAAGCCGGUGCGAUGAGACACGUGAAGAAACAGGGUCUGCAGGCUGCUGGUAGGAUUUCUUCCCCUGGGUCAUCACUAAGGCUUCACUUCCAGUCUUUGAAGACCUCAGCCCUCGGAAAGAAUGGCUGGGGCGGGGGGAUGAAGGGAAGUGAAGGGUGAUGAGGUGGAAACCCCGCUACCCAAGACCCCGGUCCUGGGGGCAGGCUGUUCAAGUGGCCCAGCGGAGGCCUGCAGACAAGCAGGAUUUAACAGGCGGGAGGCUCAGAGAUGAUAAAAGAAGAGCCCCAGAGAGCACCGCCAAGCUGCAGGGCCACAGUUCCGCGGUCACGCAGGUGUCCUGCUGGAGCCCCGCCCACCGUCCUCCGGGAGCUGCGGGGCUGCAGCAGGGACAGGGUCCACCCGCCCCCAGCGCGCAGAGAACGUCUCCAAGCCUUGCACAGAAAAAGAACAAAGGAUAAAAACUAGAAAAGACACAUUCUGAUGACUUCUCACUAAAAACUGGUGAACAGAAUACUAAUAUUCUGCCGCCCCCUUGGAUUUUUCUAGGAUGACUUCUGAAGAUUAUGCAGUAAGAUCUUCAUGCAAAGCCGUUUACAGCGUUCAGUUGCCACGUUCCUUUCCAGCCAAGACAAACCCUCAGAUGCGAGAACAAGCACAGCAUCGUCUGUCAACUCAGGGACGCUUCCCUUUCGGGAGAAUUCUGGUCUACUUUUUAUUCUACCCCCAGACUUUUGGUGGCAGAAAAGCCCUUCCUGAGAGGCUAACGAGAAGAGGGCACUGGGGGCUGGGAGGGAAAAGGAGGUGAGGACGACUGCAGAAAGGACCCCGGCGUCCUCGCCCUCUCCUCCCACCAUGACCUGCCCAGGGCUGCAGGAGGUGCCCGGCCUCGGGCCCCUAGAAAAUUGGACGGCGAGUUCCAGGGUGACAGGGCUGCGUCACAUUCCUCCUGCGUCUAGCACAGGAAACUCGACAAUCACAACCAAAGACUAAUACGGAAGCCACGUGACAUAACGGAUAGAGGAGGUGACAUACAACUCCGCAGACAAGGCCCAUGUCCACCGAGGAAGUGACCCUGCCUGGCUCUCAGGCCUCCCCGGUUCGCCACCUCCUCCCCCACCGCCGUCCCCAGGGACCACCGUGCCCUGGUGUUGCAUUUAUCCACAUCUGCCAUUGCCUACAUGCUUGCUUGCGUUUCUCUCAUCGAGCCCCUCCAUGAGGAUGUUGGCUCCAUGAGGACAAAGACGCGGUCUGUCUGGUUCACCACCAAGACGUAGCGUGAGGCCCAGCGCACAGGAGAUGCUCAACCUGUAUCUACCAAGUGAGAGGAUAAACGAGCGCAGCAGCGCAAACAGAUUCCUCCAAGUCUGGCUGGGCUAAUCAUCCUGGCGGCUGUCUGCUGCCCAAAGGUACCCUGGACACCUGGGUGACAACGUGGGGAUGUCCCCCUGGGGCCAGCCGGCCCUGGGGACAAGUAACCAGCGGUGUGAGGCGCUCACUGGCUCUCUGCAGCUAGAGCACACGCCCGGCCCUCCCACAGAAGUGGCCCUGCCAGCCCCACUGUUUCACCUGGCGCCGGCAGAGGGCUGGCGGAGAGGGACAGCAGAGCGACGUGGCCGCACUGAUGCAAACCAACCGAGGCGGCACAGGGAGGACAGUGCCUGACAAAGAGGGGCACAGAGAGACGGCGGGAGAGACGGGCAAGUCUGCGGGCAAAGCGCCGGCAGUGCCACCAGAGCCCCUGACAACCGGCCCAGACGCUGCCCCUGACAUACUCGUCCUCCACACAUGCUCCACCCCAGGGCUUCUCCCACUGCAGGGGCCCCAGAGCCCCCGAGGGCUGGCGAAGACAAGUUCCUGGGCCGCGCCCAGAGCCUGAUUCACCUGUUCUGGGCAGGGUGUCUCACCAGCUGGGUACCUGACACGUGGCCAGUGUGACUGAGGAACAGAUUUCUCUAACUUAAUUCCGUUUAGUUUAAAUGUAAAUCGUCCCGUGUGGCUGAUGGCCACGGCACCGCACGCUGCAGACAGCACACUUCCACCCUCGUGGACACUUCUCUGGACGGUGCCACUCUACAGCAUCGGAGACUGUGCUUCAAACUGCAGCCGCAGCUUCUCCCCACAGCAGGAGGCAGCCAGUUUCAGAGGGAGACCUUUAAAAGGAGACGGCACUCACUUGCCUCUGCACCCUCAUCGCCCUGGGGGAGAUGCGCUCAGGCCCAGAGCACUGCUGCCCGGGCGCUGAUGCUGGCAAGGCCCCGGCGCCCGGUGAGGAGGGCACCGCAGGAGGGGCGGACGCCUCGGGCGGCUCCCCGCAGGCACGUCUGCUUUGGCAUCCAGCAGAGGUGUAACUUCGCUUCUAUAACUCACCUAUAUUCUGCCGCGAGAGGAAAAAAAUACCACUAACUCAAAGCCAAAGGUAUAUCUAGAGCCAUGUGCUGUUUCAGGGCACCCGCUCCACGCCUGCGGGUAGAGAGGCCCGGGGGUACUCACACUGAACACCUUAAUGUCGUUUCGGGUUCUUAUCUCUUCCACGAGGGCCAGCGGUUUUCCUUUGGGUACUGGGAUGGUGCCAAGGACGACAGUCCCCAGGGUGGACAGCACCUGGCGAACGGCCUGGAUGAACGGCUGACUGAAGAGCUCCAUCUUCCCCACCUCGUCGAUGACACACACACUCUGCCCCGGGCCACCUCUGGGACCUGCCUGAGGAUGACAGAGACACUAACUGGGACACCAGGUCACAUGAGGCAACGGGCCCAGGGGUCCCCCUCCCCCACCACUCACCAACUGACCGUCAGAGCAGGGAAGGCAGCCCCACUUCGGGAAGCAGGAGGCCGUCUCUCCGUCCACCCAGAGCAAUCAACUGGCGGGAGAAUCCAGGGGAGCUCCCCUGGAGACCACAGCACCCAGAAAACUCCGUUCCCUGAGCACCCAGUUUCCCUGGCAAUUUCCGCUCUUCUGGAAUGGUCCUGAUAACGACCAAGCUUUAUAUUUAUAGACACCCAGGCAAUAAGCAGGCUUAGAAGAACUGAGGCAGCAGGCCUGGGAGCCCUUGUCAGUUGUUUCGAUUUUGAGUUGUAUGAUGGCCUGUCUGCUGGGAGGAGGUGACCGCUGCGGCCAGAUGCCUGUGUAUUUCCCAAUCUGCGCUACGAGGGUCGGUGGAAAGGAAUGAAAAUGAAAAGAGAAGGAGUCCUGGUUAAAAAAAAAAAAAAAAGUGAGCACGUUGUGCCCUUUAAUCUCAGCUUCCCCUGCUAGUGUCUUUAUACCGAUGCACUUCCACUAUGUCCUUGAAGAACCCUCUAGGAAGAGGUGGGGCAGCCAGCCUCCAAGAGUCCUCAUUAUUCCCAGCUCCUGGGAUGUGCACCCUGUGCAGACCCCUCCCCACAGUACCAAGGUGGGUCUGUGUGAUCACCAGAGACUGACAGCACGCAAAAGAGACUGCUGUUUCUGUCUUGGUCUCAAUCUCUAUCCAUUCAUCCAUCCAUCCAUCCACCUGUCCUGGAUCACCUGCUCACAGGGAAGAUGCCUGCUAUGUUGCGAGGACACGCAGGCAGCUGACGGUGAGGUCCAGGUGAUAAGGAACUGAGGCCUCAUGUCAACAGCCAGGGAGGAUCUCAGGCCUCCCAGCAACCAUGACCGUGAACUUGGAAGCCUCAGGGCACUGUAGCUUCAUGAGAGACCCUGAGCCUGAACCAUUCAGCAAAGCCGUUCCUGGAUUCCUGAUCCAGGGAAACUAAAGACCAGGAAGGGCCCACUGUCGUCGUGCGAGAGAGGUCUAACAAGCACCCAGGCUUCUGUGUUGCUCGUCACUUCCCGUUCACCUCUGAGUGGACCUGCGUGCGUUUGUAUACACAUAGCUGCCCCGUCUCCCCGCUAGAGGCAGAGAUGACGCUGUAUUCAUCUUUUUCCUUCCCAUGGAGUUGAACAGCGCAAAGCUGGGCUGAGGCAGCUGAUGUGGCCCUGCACUGGCAGGGCAGCUAAGCGAGGGAGAGUGAGGGGUCAGUUCCUAUUUCAACAUUUUCUUCAAAAAAUGAAUGCCAGGGCUUCCCUGGUGGCGCAGUGGUUAAGAAUCCGCCUGCCACUGCAGGGGACACGGGUUUGAUCCCUGGUCCGGGAAGAUCCCACAUGCCGCGGAGCAACUAAACCCAUGCACCACAACUACCGAGCCUGCGCUCUAGAGCCCGUGAGCCACCACUACAGAGACCGUGCGCCACAACUACUGAGCCUGCUCGCCUAGAGCCCGUGCUCCACAACAAGAGAAUCCACUGCAAUGAGAAGCCCGUGCACCGCGACAAAGAGCAGCCCCCGCUCGCUGCAACUAGAGAAAGCCCACGCGCAGCAACGAAGACCCAACGCAGUCAAACUGGGGAGAAAGAAAACAGCUAUCGGCCACCCGUGUGUCAGCAUAAAAACAGACACUCCCACAACAGCGAGCCAUCCCAACUGGCCUGCCUCUGAGUAAGGAGUGUCUGGGGCAUUCUGCUGCCCCCAGAGACUAUGAAUACCUGUGGACGCUGUCUUUCCGGAGGCUACAAUCUAAACAGCAAACAGAACUCCACUCCAGCACAUCAGAACGACAGUUUUGAAAGCGGUUAGUUCCGAGAGAAGCAACAUCAAAGCAUGCGUGAGCACCCAUGGCUCUGUGUUUAGUGGGUGCACGUACGCGGGCGGUCAGAUACACGUGAGCAGGUCCACGAUAAAGCACACGGCUCCACAGCCACCCUGCCUGCCUUUCUCUGCGACGUGCACCAAUGAGAGCUCACCUACAUCAUUUAAACUUCCGGACACACACGUAGACAUUAUUUUCUACCAACUGGAAAUGCUCAUUUUAAAACCUUAGCUUAUAUAAAAUCCCCAUUCUGUCCAGAAUUAGGGACUUUCUUUAUCCAGAAACUAUAGGAAUCUCAAAAAGGCUGGGAUUUUUAAUGAAAAAUUGAGUUAUUCACGCUCAGUUGAGACUGAUGUCAGAGGCUAAGCCACUCAGACACCUGUAAACAGUCAGCCUGUUUUUCUGAAUAACACAUGAACAUAUAUGAAUGAGCUUAAUAAAAGAACUACAAUUAUGUUCAGAAUUGUUUCCUUUCUACAUGGAAAUAAAUUGUUUCAAUUUUAAAAGGAAACAAAAAAACCUCAGUGACCAUUCACCCUGUUUUCCAUUAUUCUAAAUGCUCUUCUGAGUUGAUGAAGACACAGGGGUACAGCACUAGGGCCCAGGUUUGAAAACCAUCAGUAGCCUGGCUCCGGCUUCCCCGUUUCCGGCCGUGGGUUCCAGCCGUGGGUACGGAGUAAGGAGCCCGUGCAGGACUCUGGGUGGCUCUGGGCCACGUGGUUAAAAGCACUGAGCACACCCUAUGGGAGCAGCCGUUCUCCGGGCAUCCCCUCCCCGCAGAAGACAACUCAGGCGGCAUCACUGCGGUCCUCUGUGCCAAUCCCCACGCUCUGCUCCUGUGCUUGCAUUUCAGCUCGUUAUACACUUUCACUGUCACAAAGAGUGGGAAAACCUUCUCUGUGCAAAGCAUAUUUCAGUCCCUAUGUUGGUUCUGAGGGAGAAGAUAUUUUCUUGGGAUAGAGUCCUAACGUUGAUAAGCCAGGAGUGAGAGAAGUUAUGAAUAAUGUUAUAGCUUUGGUUACACCCAGCUAGCUUGCUUUCCAGAAAGAGUAAAUCAAUUUAGAGCGACAAUGAAAUACCUCCGUAUCAGCUUUGCUGGAGAGCUGAAAAACAGUGUGAUUCUUUUGGUCCUUUGUUUCAUCCUUAUGUGGACUUUUAAGGAUACAAAGAAAAUGUAAACAUAAAAUAAGCAAUUUCCUUCAACCAAAAUACUGAACGAAGAAAAAGCUAAUUAAAGUUGCCUUUGCCUUAUUCUGAAUUAUUUAAAUAAUACAUAUUUCCAGUGGUAUUAAGGUUGCCAUUUGUUUUUUUUUAAACAUCAGACACAGACUGGCUUCUGAGCUCGCCUGUCUGGGACAGCAAGUCUCAGAAGUGACGGGAGGGAACCAGGCGGCCGUCGGCCAGAAGGUAGGCAACAGAACUGGAGCCCUGCCCCCUGAAUAGCCACAAGUUCUGGGGAAGCUGGAAAGGCAAAUGGUGCCAACAGCGGCCAAGGCUGAGCAAGUUCCUCGCCCCUCUUAAGUCAUUAGCUGUAAGGCAGGGCUCCAGUUAGACUUUUAUGUGUGUUUAUUCCAAGCUUUAAAGUUUUAGGAUCCCUCAGCAGUCCGGUGGCAUGUCGGCCGCGUGUCCCCGGGGAGUAAAACGCCAGGCUGGCGGCCAGGACGAGGCGUUCAGGCGGCCCUGUGCGCCCCGCAGCACUGAGCACGCGCGGCCAGGACGAGGCGUUCAGGCGGCCCUGUGCGCCCCGCAGCACUGAGCACGCGCGGCCAGGACGAGGCGUUCAGGCGGCCCUGCGCGCCCCGCAGCACUGAGCACGCGCGGGGCAGAGCUGCUCCCACCACGUGCCGGAGGCUGGUCCUGAGGCUCUUCCUGGUGUCCCCACGGGCCUCCCCCGGCUCCACACCAGCACCUGACCGCAGAGCGCCUUGGCAUCUUCCAAGCUACGAGAAGGACCCUGGGGCUGACUGUCAGCCCAGGGGGAUCAAGAACCCAGUCCCCCUCGUGAUCCCAGCGCCGUGGGACCGGACUAGAUGUUUGGGCUCGUGGGUCCCAUGACGGGCCCCGGUUCCCAGCGAACACAAAUCAGACUGUUGAUGUGACGUCCUCCCAAGGUCCUGCGCCCAUCACCUCCCUCAACUUCUCAAGAAAAGUGACCAUAACCAUCCCUAUGCUCUGCACCUCCUGGCAGCCGGGACUAACACACUUUACAAGCAUGACCGCCUUCAGUCCUAAUAACUUCACGUAGCAGACAUCGACAUCUCUGCGCUACAACGAAGGAAGGGAAGCCAGGGGGUAAGUGACUCAUCCAGUCCCCGAGCUCCCAAGGGACAGGGCUGGGGAGGCUGACCCAGUAUCACCCAACUCCAUGGCCUCUGCCACCCACCGUAGGCAAUUCCAUCUGCACAGUUUCCACAUGAACUAAGGAAAGAACUGAGUCUCAGAAAGUCAUCUCACCAUGAAGAAACCACUUUUCUCGCCAAUGAGAGAAGGAAGAGUGCCUUAGUUUCUAGGGCCCUACAGAGGUAUAGCCACAAAAACGCUAUUUUUUUGGAUUAAUUAUAUUACUCAAAAAACCCUACCUAUUUGGGGUCCCAGAGCAAAAAUAUCACCAACCUCAUUUUCUCACGUACAGAGAAUGGCCCUGCAGGUGAAGGGGCCUCUACCCUCUGCCAGGAGCUCACCUCUUUGCACACAGUAGAGAAGACAGGAGCGGGCAUCCCAAUGUGCACAGGCUUACCUCGGCGAGAUGCGGAGCUCGCUUCCAGGCACCCGGAAUAAAGCCAGUAUCACACUAAGCUUGGCUAACUGGCACAGGAGGCAUAGCUUUCUGCCUGUCUCGGCUUUCAACGUACCUUCCUCGCUGAGCUUAAUCAUUUCCAGCUUUUGAAAAGUGAAAAGACGUGCAACUCUUCCUUUCACUUGAAUGCUUGGAGGCCGCAAACCUUCAGUUUGUAAAAAAAGGCAGUAUCUGCAAAGCACAAGACAACGAGUAAAAUACAUGAGAUGGGAGAAAAAAUUCUGCUUCAGAAAAGAAACCCAUGGAUAGGAACCUGCAGCCUGGGAAAUUUUCCUACCUAGAAUGUUGAAAGUCUGGGUUUGGUAAUCAAAGUAUAAAAUAUUGGAAGAGUCUGCUUUUCUUUCUUUUUUAACUAAGAAAAAAAAGAGAUUCAAGUUCUUAUUCCGGUCAGUACACGAUUUCUUAUAUAAUCCUGCAGAUAGACGUCAAGGCCGUAUGUGCACACUGCUCUCCUAGGAUUGUCUGCUCUAAGCAAGGUAAGUAAAAAUCAUUCUUUAUAUGGAUCCAGUACCCAAAGCCAGAGUCAUCAUCUGGAAUUUGAUUUGAAGUAUUUCACUUGCUUCUUGAGCAUUUAAGUAGAGAGGUAGGUAUUUGACGGGAAAAGAACUAGAGAGAAAAAUAUCAUGCUUCCUGACUGUUUCCGCACAAGACAACAGGCAUGAGAGUCCCCAGUGCAGGGAACGAAAGUUCCUAGAGGAAGAAAUCAGGAAGAAAGGUGAGGGGAGCAGGCAAGGGGGGGCGAAGCCAAGGAGCAGGUGGGCUUGGAGGGGCAGCAGCCGCUACCAACACAGUGCAACAUCCCGCCGGCCCCGGGAGUCAGAAGCUGCCCUCAGCAGGCAAACCUGACCUUUCCAGCAGCCAAAGCUUUGGCACCUGCCAAAGCCCUCACCGCCCCUUUUAGCUGAGCCCUGAAUGAGCAGAGAGGCCAAGAUAUGAGGAGCCUGCCAACCACAGAAACAGCAGUGCCAAGGGCGGAAGGCUGGGGGCCGGGCACGAGGGGAACAGGCUAAGCCGGCAGGCGGGAGAUGGGGAGGACGGAGGGCAGGAGGCCCGGACAGAGCCGGCCUUCCGGGCCCCGGGGAGGACCUUGGACUCGACUGCUGGUACGACGGAGACCGCCGCAAAGUUGAUAAAGAAUUGCCUCUUGAGACAGGUCCAUACUCUUCAAUCUUCACGACAGUAUUAUAAAUCAAUGGUGUGAGUCUAUAAUAGAUGAUAUAAAACCCAUAUUCCUUAAUAUGCGCCACAAAACCCUGCAUCAUGGGACUCUACCCGGCUCACCCACCGUACCUCCCCCACCUGCUCCUGCCCAGGGCCCCCGGCCUCGGUGUCUCUGCUUCUAUCAUCCGUGACGUUCUCCCAGACACCCCCAUACAACACCCCAGGAUUCCCUCCCGGAAGGGAUGGUGCCCUCUGAUCUUUUCAUUUCAUCCAAAUGUCACCUCCUCAGAGCUCUUUCCUGGUCACCAGGUCUAAAGUCAGUUCCUCCUCCUUCUCUCACAGCACCCUGCUUUUCUUCUUGGCUGCAUUAAUGACAAUUAUACAUUUAUUUGUUUAAUGUCUACAUUUCCCACUAGAAUGAGAGUUUGGGGAGAGUAGAAAACAUGUUUUUUUCCUGACUGUAUAUCUGGGAUUUGAUAAAUAUUUGAUGAAUGAAUGCAAAAAACAAGUAAUACAUAGUCAACAAAACCGAAAGUUGGUUCUUUGAAAAGAGCAACUAAAUUGACAAACCUUUAACUAUUACUGAAGUCCAUAAAGAGAGGACUUAAAUAAUUAAAAUGCAUGAAAGAAGGGAAAAUACCACAGACCUUACAAAAUAAAAAGGAUUACAGGGGAAUAUAUAAACAACCGUAUGCCGACGAAUUAGAUAACUUACUAUCUAAUGAAACGGUCCAAUAAAUUACUAAAAGACACAAAUUACCACAACUGAUUCAACGUGAAAUAAAAAAAUCAGCAGACCUAUAACAAAUAAAGAAAUUGAAUUCAUAAUUUAAAAGAUUCCUAUGAAGAAAAACCCAGGCCCACAUGGUUUCACUGGUGAAUUCUAUCAAACAUUCCAAGAAAAAUUAAUACCAGUCUUUUACAAACUCUUCCAAAAAUUAGAAGAGGAAGGAAUACUGCCUAGCUCAUUCUACAAGACCACAAUUACCCUGAUAUCAAAAUUAGACAAAGAUACUACAAGAAAAGAGAGCUACGGUCCACAUCCCUUAUGAAUGUAGAUGCAGAAAUCCUCAACAAAAUACUAGCAAACAGAAUCCGGCAACAUAUAAAAGAAAUAUACAUAUGCCAUGACCAAGAGGGAUUUAUUUCAAGAAAACAAAGUAGGUUUAACAUCCAAAUACGAAUGUAAUAUACUAUAUUAAUAUAAUAUAGGAUAAAAAUCACAUAGUCACCGCUAUAAAUGCAGAAAAAGGAUCUGACAAAACCCAACACUUCUUCACUUUAAAAAACAAAUGUUAAACCACAAGCUAGAAACAGAAAGGAACAUCGUCAACCUGGUGUUAGCCGUCCACAAACAACCUACCCCUAACAUCAUACGUGACGGCGGGGGAAUGAGAGCUUUCUUCCUGAGAUCAGGAACGAGACCACGAGGUCCACUUGCGACGCUUCUAUUCAUCACUGAACUGAGCUUCUGGCUGAGGCGGUUAGGAAAGAAAACAAAAUAAAAGGCAUCCAAAGUGGACAGGAAAAAGUAAAAUGAUCCCCGUUUGCAGAUGAUAUCAUUUUGUAACUAGAAAAUUCUAAGGAAUUCAUUAAAGAACUAUUAGUUUGACAACUAUUAGUUUGCAGGAUACAAGGUCUAUACACAAAAAUCAACAGUAUUUCUGUACAUUAGUAAUGAACAUUCCAAAAAUAAAAUUAGGAAAAUAAUUCUAUUUACAAUAGCAUCAAAAAGUAUAAAAUAGUAAGGUAUAAAUUUUUUAAAAAGAAGCAUAAGACUUAUAUGCUGGAAACUACAAAACAACAUGGCUGAACGAAAUUAAAGACACUCUAAGUAAAUAAAAAGACAUGUCAUUCAUGUUCAUGGAUCUAAAGAUUUAAUAUUGUUAAGAUAGCAAUACUCCCCAAAUUGAUUUAUAGAUUCAAUACAAUCUCUAUCAAAAUUCUAGCUUCAGUAAUCAAACAGUGUGCUUCUGAUAUAAGAAUAGAUGGAACUGACAUGAGGAUAAACAGAAUAGAAUUGAAAAUCUAAAAUCAAUCCUUAUACUCAUGGUCAAUUGAUUUCUAAAAGAGUGCCAAGACAAUUAAAUGGAAAAAGAAUAGUCUUGUCAACAAAUGGUUCUGAAACAACUGGAUAUUUAUGUGCAAAAGAAUGACUUUCGAUCCACACCUUACAACAUAUACAAAAAUCAAUUCAGAACAGACCACAGACCUAAAUGCAUUAGUAAAACUGUAAAACUCUUGGAAGAACACAUGGGAGUUAAUCUUCCUGAAACUGUGUUAGUAAAGCACCAAAAGCACAAACAACAUUAAGAAAAAUAGAUACACUGGACUUUUCAAAAAUAAGAACAUUUGUGGCCUUUCCUGGUGGUCCAGUGGUUAAGACUCUGUGCUGCUACUGCAGGGGGCACGGGUUCAAUCCCUGAUCGGGGAAGUUUUGCAUGCCGUGCCAUGCAGCCAAAAAAGUUUUUAAAAAAUAAAUAAAUAAAAACAUUUGUGUCAUCACAUCGAGAAAGUAAAGACAACUACAGAGUUGAUGAAUACAGUCGUCCCUGGGCAUCCGCAGGGCACUGGUUCCAGGGUCCUCCCCCACACACCAAAUCCACGGAUGCUCAAGUCCCUCAGAUAAAAUGGCACAAUGGUCCUCCAUAUCCAUGGAACCCCUGGACACGGAGAGCCAACUGUAUACCUGCAUAUCACAUCCAGAUGGCCAAUAAGUACAUGACGAGAUGCUCAACAUCAGUAGGUCAAUAGGGAAAUGCAAAUGAAAACACAGUGCGACAACGCUUCACACCUACUAGAAGGGGUACAGUUACAAAGACAGUAACGAUUAGCAAGGAUGUGGAGAAACUGAAACCAUCAUCCAUUGCUGGCAGGAAUGUAAAACAGCACAGCUAGUUUGGAAAACACUCUAGUCAUUUCCCAAAAAGUUAUAUAUAGAACUACCUCAUGACCCAGCAUUUCCACUCGUAGGUAUACACUCAAGAGACCUAAAAACAGAUGUCUACCCAAAAACUUGGACACAAUUGUUCAGGGCAGCAUUAUUCAUAAUAGCCAAAAAGUAGAAACUCAUCCAAAUGUUCACCAGCUGAAGAAUAGAUAAAUAAAAUAAGGUAUAUCCAUAUAAUGGAAUAUUACACAGCCAUGAAAAGGAACAAAGCACUGAUAUGCACUGUGAUGUGGAUAAACCCUGUAAAUAUUAUGCCAAGUGAAACAGGCUAGUCACAGAAAGACCACAUAUGGUAUCACUCCCUUUCUAGGAAAUCUCCAGAACACUCAAAUCUACAGACAGAGAAGCAGGGUAGUGCCUGCCAGGGGCUGGGGACACAGGAAUGGAGACUGCUUCAUGGGUGUGGGGUUUCUUUUCGGGAUGACAAAAAUGUUCUAAAAUUAGGCUGUGUUAAUUGGUUGCACAAUCCUAUGAAUACCUGAGAAAAAAAUGAACUGUGUAUUUUAAAUGGGUGAACUGUAUGGUAUGUGAAUUAUAUCUCAAUAAAGCUGUUUAAAAAAAUACAGGUAAUACAGUGAUAUAAUGUGUUACGUGCUUACCAUUAUGUUCAUAUGACAUUUUACCUUCCUAAAUGUUUAUGUGCUGUGCUGUGAAAACAGGGUUAAGAUAUACACAAGGGGAAAGCAGAGGAAAGACUCAUCUUUGGGGACCAUGGUAGCUAGGCAUCAGAGCCCUCCCAAUGUAAAAUACUUACAUAUGCUGAAUUUCUGUAACAAGGAGUUUACUUGUAGUUCGGAGUGACAGUAAAUUAUGUGGCAUAUCCUUACUAAGCCUCAACCAAUUGAAGACUUUUAAGCUGUAAAUGCAAAACUGGCCUCUCUAUAAGAGCGAAAGCCAGCAAUUCCCACAAGGCAUGGAGAACAGACGGGCUCAAAAAACCAGAAACACGCACUCACAUUCCUCAAGACAGGAAGCACCAGCUGCUCGAAGGAAGUCAGAUCCACCACAUACUGCCCAACACAGCACUCACGCUUCCCAGGCGGAAGCUCUGACCUGAAAGAAAAGAGAGUACAUCCUUUGUCGAAAGACCCCUCUACUGAUUUCUGGGUUUUAGCUACUCCACUGAGCCUCUGGCCUUCUGCGUGUGCUAAAGCAUCCUUAAAAAUCACCCGAACAGAAAGCGGCAGUGAGCAAAGCUGACCUGAUUCCACACCCUUUCCUGAGAGCAGGGCUAACACCGGUGGGCACACCACCACCCACGGCCCGGCAGCUGCCUUCGGGGAGCUGGCACGUCACCUAUCUUAGAAGAGUGACGUGAGAAACAGGGCUACGAAGUACCAAGUGAGAAGAGCUUACUACUCAGUGGAGUACGUUCUAAGUGGAAUAUGAUAUUUUCAACUUUGUUUUUUAUGUGAUGAUUUCAACCUCUGUUUUCUUUUUCCAAGAAAUCCGUAAAGGCUCAGGAUUCUUCAAGAUAGAAGAGAUCACCUGGCUCAGCCCUGGGCCCAGGGAGAAUAAAACACCACGGAAAUGAAGCUGCAGUACCCAAUCCUGGAUAAAGGUCCGCGGGCACCAGACAACGUGACAACAUCGAACCCUAUUCUUCUUCCUCCCUGUCUGACUUCUUCUGUAUAGAACCCGUCGACAGGCACGCCAGAGGACUUUAAAACUUCACUGACUUUCUGGAUCAACGUUGUUUUUCCAACCCCUAAAAAAAAAAAAAAAAAAAAAAAGCCCAUUAGGAACCACUGCUUUGCUGGAGCACAGGAAUCACCAGGAGGAGAGAAACAGGCUGCAAAUGGAUUUUAUGAAUGUUAAUGUCACUUAAUUUUGACUGCUCCAGGUGUUAAAACUCUUGAAUUUCAAGUAGAAACAAGCAUAAUAAAAAUAUGAAUGGUAUCUUGAAGUUUAUUUUUAAAUUCUGAAACAGUAUUGGUUUUGUCACAUACACCAUCCCAGAACCAGGUGAGUGGUUUGCUGAUAAAAAUCUCAAGUGCAAUUUACAUCCUAG